AUAACGGUCCUAAGGUAGCGAAAUUCCUUGUCGGGUAAGUUCCGACCCGCACGAAUGGUGUAACGAUCUGGACACUGUCUCAACUACCCACCCGGCGAAAUUGUAGUACCGGUGAAGAUGCCGGUUACCCGCGGCAAGACGGAAAGACCCCAUGGAGCUUUACUGUAACCUGAUAUUGGGUUUCGGUAUUUUAUGUACAGGAUAGGUGGGAGACUAAGAAACUAAGGCGCCAGCCUUAGCGGAGUCGCCCUUGGGAUACCACUCUUAAAGUACUGAAAUUCUAACCUGCGGCCGUGAAUCCGGUCGGGGGACAUUGUCAGGCGGGCAGUUUGACUGGGGCGGUCGCCUCCAAAAGAGUAACGGAGGCGCUCAAAGGUUCGCUCAGCAUGGUCGGAAACCAUGCCUUAGAGUGUAAACGCAAAAGCGAGCCUAACUGCGAGGCUGACGGGCCGAGCAGUAACGAAAGUUGGAGUUAGUGAUCCGGCGGUAUGUGAAUGGAAAUGCCGUCGCUCAACGGAUAAAAGCUACCCUGGGGAUAACAGGCUGAUCUCCCCCAAGAGUCCACAUCGACGGGGAGGUUUGGCACCUCGAUGUCGGCUCAUCGCAUCCUGGGGCUGUAUUCGGUCCCAAGGGUUUGGCUGUUCGCCAAUUAAAGCGGUACGCGAGCUGGGUUCAGAACGUCGUGAGACAGUUCGGUCCCUAUCUGUCGUGGGCGUAGGAUAUUUGAAGAGCGCUGUCCCUAGUACGAGAGGACCGGGAUGGACGCACCGCUGGCGCAUCGGUUGUCAUGCCAAUGGCACGGCCGAGCAACUAUGUGCGGUUUGGAUAAACGCUGAAAGCAUCUAAGCGUGAAGCCAUCUCUAAGAUAAGAUAUCCCAUAGCAUAAGCUAGUAAGACCCCUCAAAGACUAUGAGGUUGAUAGGCUGCGUGUGUAAGUACGGCGACGUAUUUAGCUUGGCAGUACUAAUAGGUCGAGGGCUUGACCUU
Molecule: ribosomal RNA, 987 nt
Filed under: human gut metagenome
Description: bacterial LSU rRNA
Rfam family: Bacterial large subunit ribosomal RNA
Source: RNAcentral